AGAUUGAACGCUGGCGGCAUGCCUAACACAUGCAAGUCGAACGGGAGUAGCAAUACUCUAGUGGCGGACGGGUGAGGAAUACGUAGGAAUUUGCCCUUAAGUGGGGGAUAACCCGGGGAAACCCGGAUUAAUACCGCAUGACCUCGAAAGAGCAAAGUGGGGGAUCGCAAGACCUCACGCUUUUGGAGAAGCCUACGUCGGAUUAGCUAGUUGGUGAGGUAAUGGCUCACCAAGGCGACGAUCCGUAACUGGUCUGAGAGGAUGAUCAGUCACGACCGGAACUGACGACGACCGGUCCGGACUCCGUACGGGAGCAGGCAGGUGGGGAAUAGUUGGACGUAAGUGGGACGACGAAGGCCUGAACUCCAGACAAUGGCCCGACGGUUGUGUAGGAA
RNAcentral lists this ribosomal RNA (395 nucleotides) under uncultured soil bacterium. RNAcentral describes it as "bacterial SSU rRNA". It matches the Rfam family "Bacterial small subunit ribosomal RNA", at positions 26 to 416 of the family's 1533-position model. The record is from RNAcentral.